CAAAGUUAAGUUAUAGAUUAACCUCUAUAUAUCUUA
RNAcentral lists this transfer RNA (36 nucleotides) under Myodes glareolus (Bank vole). RNAcentral describes it as "partial tRNA-Asp". Lineage: Eukaryota; Metazoa; Chordata; Mammalia; Rodentia; Cricetidae. The record is from RNAcentral.